CAGUCGCCACGGUAAUACAGAGGGUGCGAGCGUUAAUCGGAUUUACUGGGCGUAAAGCGUGCGUAGGCGGCUUCUUAAGUCGGAUGUGAAAUCCCUGAGCUUAACUUAGGAAUUGCAUUCGAUACUGGGAAGCUAGAGUAUGGGAGAGGAUGGUAGAAUUCCAGGUGUAGCGGUGAAAUGCGUAGAGAUCUGGAGGAAUACCGAUGGCGAAGGCAGCCAUCUGGCCUAAUACUGACGCUGAGGUACGAAAGCGUGGGGAGCAAACAGGAUUAGAUACCCCAGUAGUCCCUGUCUCUUAUAA
RNAcentral lists this ribosomal RNA (301 nucleotides) under uncultured bacterium. Its description in RNAcentral is "partial 16S ribosomal RNA". It matches the Rfam family "Bacterial small subunit ribosomal RNA", at positions 509 to 809 of the family's 1533-position model. The record is from RNAcentral.